Molecule: ribosomal RNA, 253 nt
Filed under: uncultured bacterium
Lineage: Bacteria
Description: partial 16S ribosomal RNA
Rfam family: Bacterial small subunit ribosomal RNA
Source: RNAcentral
AACGUAGGAGACAAACGUUAUCCGGAAUCACUGGGCGUAAAGGGUGCGUAGGCGGGUCUUUAAGUCAGGGGUGAAAUCCUGGAGCUCAACUCCAGAACUGCCUUUGAUACUGAGGAUCUUGAGUUCGGGAGAGGUGCGUGGAACUGCGAGUGUAGAGGUGAAAUUCGUAGAUAUUCGGAAGAACACCAGUGGCGAAGGCGGCUCACUGGACUGGUAUUGACGCUGAGGUGCGAAAGCGUGGGGAGCAAACAGG